ACGAUAUAAUGUGUUCUUUUUUAAUCGGCACGAUACAAUUUGUUAAUAUUAGUUUUCAAUUCCAACUUCUAAUUUAAUGAUGAUUUUUUAUUCCAACUUCUGAUGCUGAACUAUAAGGACCAUUGCAGACAUCACCGAGACACCGAUAGUGAGGUAAUGUUUUGUUCUUCUGCUUCAACAGUUUUUCCAGUUCUAAUGCACGGAGCUAAAUCCCCUUCUCUACAGUUUAAAAAAACAAAGACGUUACGAGAACGGAAUUAUAGCCCUUCGCUAUUCUAUGAAGAUUAAGGCUCUAUAACUUCUUGGGACUUUAACUAAUCAUGGACAAUCUAAGCGUCUAUGGCCAUCUCGACGGUAACUUGCAGAAAAUUACAAAGGUUACGUGUCUUUGAGAAAAAAAUGUAAUUGUGGUGAUUCAUGAUGAGCAAGAAAUUAAUAGUAUUUUUAUGCAUGAGGUAUGCCUACCAAUGCCAUUAUUACUUUACUCCCUCUGUACUGUAAGGGGUCAACGAAUUGAUAAAAGGGAUGUGGUGCCAUACAAUACAUACCUUUCGAGAAAAUAUAAUUCUCAUAACAAUGUGGAAGUUUGUCCUGGAAUAAAAUCUAUUAAGUAUAUCCACAAGUACAUCUACAAAGGUCAUGAUCGUACCAUGAUAGUGUUGAGAGACGAAUAAACAAGAUCUAGAAUUAAGGUAACUAUUAUUAGUCAUCAUUUUACUUUUACAAGAAGGGAUUCUUGCUCAUUAAUUAUUUUUUUAGGCUGUUAUUCAUGUUCCUAAUUGUGCUUUUUGGAUGAAGUAGAUAUGCGUUGGUACAAAAACUCUCG
Molecule: long non-coding RNA, 826 nt
Organism: Rhododendron vialii
Lineage: Eukaryota; Viridiplantae; Streptophyta; Magnoliopsida; Ericales; Ericaceae
Exons: 4
Source: RefSeq, a predicted model, not a curated record